This 464-nucleotide ribosomal RNA is filed under the name uncultured delta proteobacterium. Its description in RNAcentral is "bacterial SSU rRNA". It matches the Rfam family "Bacterial small subunit ribosomal RNA", at positions 8 to 464 of the family's 1533-position model. Lineage: Bacteria; Deltaproteobacteria. The record is from RNAcentral.
AGAGUUUGAUCAUGGCUCAGAACGAACGCUGGCGGCGUGCUUAACACAUGCAAGUCGAACGCGAAAAUUUUUCUUCGGAAAAGAAAAGUAGAGUGGCGCACGGGUGAGUAACGCGUAAGUUAUCUACCCCGGCAUUCUGGAAUAACUCACCGAAAAGGUGUGCUAAUACCGGAUACGUUGAGAGAUCAAGAAAAGGUGGCCUCUGCAUAUGCUACCGUGCUGGGAUGAGCUUGCGUACCAUUAGCUAGUUGGCAGGGUAAUGGCCUACCAAGGCGACGAUGGUUAGCGGGUCUGAGAGGAUGAUCCGCCACACUGGAACUGGAACACGGACCAGACUCCUACGGGAGGCAGCAGUGAGGAAUAUUGCGCAAUGGGGGAAACCCUGACGCAGCGACGCCGCGUGGAUGAUGAAGGCCUUCGGGUCGUAAAAUCCUGUCAGGUGGAAAGAAGUGCAUACAUGAUAA